Molecule: long non-coding RNA, 920 nt
Filed under: Acyrthosiphon pisum (pea aphid)
Lineage: Eukaryota; Metazoa; Arthropoda; Insecta; Hemiptera; Aphididae
Description: uncharacterized LOC100569022, transcript variant X3
Source: RNAcentral
GCUGCCGCGAGCAUGGACAACAUAAGAAUUCUUAUAUUAUCUAUGGCCGCGAAUCACGAUCGCCUCGUUCUUCGACGGCUCGACGCACAGAAAGUCAAAAAUUAUAUUCCAUACUCGCUUUCUACCUAUAUUUAUGUACAUUGUUAUAAACUGAUAUCUGUGCUCCGAUAAUUAUCCAUUAUUAACUAUCAUUUAGUUACGCAUCGCUGUUCAAUAGUAGUCACUGGAUACAAGUCAACAGGGGUGUGAUUGCGAUUCAACCAUAAACCCCGUACUUAGUGAUAUUUUAUAAUAUACAUCAUACAAGCACGAACCUCUGAUCAUUGUCGUCCAUGCGCAUCCAACAACUGAAGGUAACGACCACCAGCCUCGACUCUGGCCUCCAUCGUCUAGUGUUACGCAGACUCCUCGUCAGUCGCCAUGUCAAAUGAUCUGAACCGGCUUCAACUGCUGGAGAGUGUAUUCAACAGAGUGACUGAGUUUGCACGGACUGUACGCAGCAUACGGGCCACCAUCAGAGAGUGUGUUGAACUGCAUGAGAGACUGUUGGAGUCCAUCGGUCGCAUCCUGUCACUGUUGCAGCUCAUACGUGAUGGUCUCGUUGGACAUACAUCCGGACUGACAAAUGGACGGUCGAAGGGUUGACAGAUGGUUGAUACUAACCCAGGUCAAUCAUCAAUAUAAGUCUUCCAGAGAUCUCAAUCGAAUAACUAGAUACAAUGUUAAAAACUUUUUAACACCUAUAAAAUGUGCAGUCAAUAUUGUCUGAAGUGGCUUACACAGUUUUCAUAUUUUUUUUAUAAAAGUUUAAAUUCUAAGUGUUGUAAUAAAGUAUGUAAGACUGGUGAUGUUUAAUUCCUAAAAUUAAAAUAAUUAUUUAUGUUUAAAUGUGUUAAUUGAUUAUAAAAUAAUGUGUAAUA